Molecule: ribosomal RNA, 427 nt
Filed under: uncultured bacterium
Lineage: Bacteria
Description: partial 16S ribosomal RNA
Rfam family: Bacterial small subunit ribosomal RNA
Source: RNAcentral
UGGGGAAUAUUGGACAAUGGGCGAAAGCCUGAUCCAGCCAUGCCGCGUGUGUGAAGAAGGUCUUCGGAUUGUAAAGCACUUUAAGUUGGGAGGAAGGGCAUUAACCUAAUACGUUAGUGUUUUGACGUUACCGACAGAAUAAGCACCGGCUAACUAUGUGCCAGCAGCCGCGGUAAUAAAGAGGGCGCAAGCGUUAAUCGGAAUUACUGGGCGUAAAGCGCGCGUAGGUGGUUUGUUAAGUUGGAUGUGAAAUCCCCGGGCUCAACCUGGGAACUGCAUUCAAAACUGACUGACUAGAGUAUGGUAGAGGGUGGUGGAAUUUCCUGUGUAGCGGUGAAAUGCGUAGAUAUAGGAAGGAACACCAGUGGCGAAGGCGACCACCUGGACUAAUACUGACACUGAGGUGCGAAAGCGUGGGGAGCAAACA